GCCAAAGAAGAGUUCUGAGGCUGACGCUGAUGAUGGGGUUGUGGCGGAAGACGAUCCCAAGAAAUCUGUUGACGAGUCCAAAAAGCUAUUUCAGAGGCUAUGGAGUGAGGACGACGAGAUUGCUAUUCUGAACGGUAUGAUUGAUUAUUCAGCCAAGAAGGGUGCUGACCCAGCUUUGGAUAUGAAUGCAUUUCAUGAUUUCAUCAAGAAAUCUCUUCAUGUCGACGUAACCAAGGCCCAAUUAGUGGAUAAAAUACGUCGACUGAAGAAGAAAUAUAGGAACAAUGCCGAUAGAGGGAAGAAGGGUGCAGACCCAACAUUUUCAAAACCCCAUGAACAGAAAGGUUUUGAACUGUCAAAG
Molecule: unclassified non-coding RNA, 361 nt
Filed under: Hevea brasiliensis (rubber tree)
Lineage: Eukaryota; Viridiplantae; Streptophyta; Magnoliopsida; Malpighiales; Euphorbiaceae
Source: RNAcentral